This 217-nucleotide long non-coding RNA is filed under the name Physcomitrium patens. RNAcentral describes it as "long non-coding RNA (PPAT_LNC010850)". Lineage: Eukaryota; Viridiplantae; Streptophyta; Bryopsida; Funariales; Funariaceae. The record is from RNAcentral.
CUAGUUCUUGCCAGUUCUUCUUGAACUUCUUGGUAGAUAUCAAGUCUGUAUUCUGUGUCCAUGACAGUUUGUCGAGACUUCACUCACCUCAGAUAUCAGAGCUAGUUUCUUCUUUGUUAGAGUGUGGAUUAUCCCUCUGCUUGGAAGUGUACUAGCACUUUAGAGAUUGCAGAUUACCGUCUUCUAAAUUGAUACUUCUUUUGUUACAAUAUUGGAG